Aotus nancymaae (Ma's night monkey) is the source of this 117-nucleotide small nuclear RNA. Its record names the gene U5. It matches the Rfam family "U5 spliceosomal RNA". From Rfam's summary of the family: U5 RNA is a component of both types of known spliceosome. The precise function of this molecule is unknown, though it is known that the 5' loop is required for splice site selection and p220 binding, and that both the 3' stem-loop and the Sm site are important for Sm protein binding and cap methylation. The record is from Ensembl. Lineage: Eukaryota; Metazoa; Chordata; Mammalia; Primates; Aotidae.
AUGCACUGGUUUCUCUUCAUAACAAAUAAAUGUUCAACCUUUUACUAAAGAUUUCCAUGGAGAGGAGCAAUUAUGAGUUUAUAGCCAAAUUUUUUAAUGUCCUGCUUAGGCAGGGCU